RNAcentral lists this ribosomal RNA (433 nucleotides) under uncultured bacterium. RNAcentral describes it as "partial 16S ribosomal RNA". It matches the Rfam family "Bacterial small subunit ribosomal RNA", at positions 29 to 507 of the family's 1533-position model. The record is from RNAcentral.
AGCGAACGCUGGCGGCAGGCUUAACACAUGCAAGUCGAGCGGGCACUUCGGUGUCGCCUGCAGACGGGUGAGUAACACGUGGGAACGUACCCUUUUGUUCGGAAUAACGCUUGUAAACUAGCGCUAAUACCGGAUACGCUCUUCUGGUGAAAGGCUUGCUGCCGAAGUAUGGGCCCGCGUCUUUUUGGCUUUUUGGUGGUGUAAUGGCCUACCAAGGCGUCGAUAGUUAGCUGGUCUGAGAGGAUGAUCAGCCACACUGGGGCGAAGACACGGCCGAGAAUCCUACGGGAGGGAGGCGAGGGGGAUAUAGGCCAACGGGGGCAAGGAUGAUGCCGCCAUGGCGGGUAAGUGAUGAAGUCCUUAGGGUUGUAAAGCUCUUUUGUCCGGGACGAUAAUGACGGUACCGGAAGAAUAAGCCCCGGCUAACUUCGUG